This 253-nucleotide ribosomal RNA is filed under the name uncultured bacterium. Its description in RNAcentral is "partial 16S ribosomal RNA". It matches the Rfam family "Bacterial small subunit ribosomal RNA", at positions 524 to 776 of the family's 1533-position model. The record is from RNAcentral.
UACGUAGGGUGCAAGCGUUGUCCGGAAUUAUUGGGCGUAAAGAGCGUGUAGGCGGCCAGGUAGGUCUGCUGUGAAAACUCGAGGCUCAACCUCGAGACGCCGAUGGAAACCAUCUGGCUAGAGUCCGGAAGAGGAGAGUGGAAUUCCUGGUGUAGCGGUGAAAUGCGCAGAUAUCAGGAAGAACACCCGUGGCUAAGGCGGCUCUCUAGUACGGUACUGACGCUGAGACGCGAAAGCGUGGGGAGCGAACAGG